This 500-nucleotide ribosomal RNA is filed under the name uncultured Myrionecta. Its description in RNAcentral is "SSU rRNA". It matches the Rfam family "Eukaryotic small subunit ribosomal RNA", at positions 34 to 600 of the family's 1831-position model. The record is from RNAcentral. Lineage: Eukaryota; Ciliophora; Litostomatea; Cyclotrichida; Mesodiniidae.
AUGUCUCAGACUAGCCAUGCACGUCUAGUACAAACUAAAUGAUGGUGAAACUGCAAAUGGCUCAUUACAACGGUUAUGAUGUACCCGGGAGUUCCGAUGGAUAUUUCCAGUAACACUAGAACUAAUACAUGUCCCUGCGUUUAUUAGUUUCGCACAGUCCGUCGCUGAGUCAUGGUAAACAGUUGAUCGACUCGACGUCCCGGAACAGUUUCCGCCCCAUCAGCUUCGAUGGUUGGGUAUUGGCCUACCAUUGCAACAACGGGUAACGAGGAAUUAGGGUUUGAUUUCGGAGAGGGAGCCUGAGAAACGGCUACCACAUCUACGGAUGGCAGCAGGCGCGCAAAUUACCCAAUGCAGACACUGUGAGGUAGUGACGAGAAAUAAUAAAGCGGGACUUCUGUUUCGCUAUUAUAAUGAGGAAUAACCAAAGGUCAUUCCGAUUAGCAACUGAUGGGAAAGUCUGGUGCCAGCAGCCGCGGUAAUACCAGCGUCAGUAGCAU